Paramuricea clavata is the source of this 234-nucleotide non-coding RNA. The record is from the annotation of a GenBank genome assembly. NCBI's taxonomy places the organism in Eukaryota, Metazoa, Cnidaria, Anthozoa, Malacalcyonacea, Plexauridae.
UGAUUACAAAGCCCAGUCGAAUUGUAAUCAGGACCCAACGUUUCGACACUCCAGUCUAGUGUCUUCAUCAGGGGUGAUCUGAAACUGCGAUCGUGGCUUCUUAAAUACCCAAGGGAUGACGUCACCUGCCAGGAAGAUGCAUAUAUUCUUCUGGCAAAUAGGCGCCGUCAUCCCUAUUCAAAGCAUGAUGACUCAUAUUUAUAUGCCACGCUUCUAGGCAAAGUCUUUGACCGU